Molecule: ribosomal RNA, 253 nt
Filed under: uncultured bacterium
Lineage: Bacteria
Description: partial 16S ribosomal RNA
Rfam family: Bacterial small subunit ribosomal RNA
Source: RNAcentral
UACGUAGGGUGCGAGCGUUAAUCGGAAUUACUGGGCGUAAAGCGUGCGCAGGCGGUGAUGUAAGACAGGUGUGAAAUCCCCGGGCUUAACCUGGGAACUGCAUUUGUGACUGCAUCGCUGGAGUACGGCAGAGGGGGAUAGAAUUCCGCGUGUAGCAGUGAAAUGCGUAGAUAUGCGGAGGAACACCGAUGGCGAAGGCAAUCCCCUGGGCCUGUACUGACGCUCAUGCACGAAAGCGUGGGGAGCAAACAGG